Molecule: ribosomal RNA, 253 nt
Filed under: uncultured bacterium
Lineage: Bacteria
Description: partial 16S ribosomal RNA
Rfam family: Bacterial small subunit ribosomal RNA
Source: RNAcentral
UACGUAGGGUGCAAGCGUUGUCCGGAAUCAUUGGGCGUAAAGCGCGCGUAGGCGGCCCUGUAAGUCCGUUGUGAAAGUCAAAGGCUCAACCUUUGAAAGCCGAUGGAUACUGCAGGGCUAGAGUCCGGAAGAGGCGAGUGGAAUUCCUGGUGUAGCGGUGAAAUGCGCAGAUAUCAGGAGGAACACCGGUGGCGAAGGCGGAUCUCUGGGCCUUACCUGACGCUGAGGCGCGAAAGCUAGGGGAGCGAACAGG